CCGCGGUAAUACGGAGGGUGCAAGCGUUGUUCGGAUUUACUGGGCGUAAAGCGCGCGCAGGUGGGCGUGCAAGUCGGAAGUGAAAUCCCUCGGCUCAACCGGGGAACUGCGUCCGAUACUGGUGGGCUUGAGUUCGGGAGAGGGAUGUGGAAUUCCAGGUGUAGCGGUGAAAUGCGUAGAUAUCUGGAGGAACACCGGUGGCGAAGGCGGCAUCCUGGACCGACACUGACGCUGAGGCGCGAAAGCCAGGGGAGCA
Molecule: ribosomal RNA, 256 nt
Filed under: uncultured bacterium
Lineage: Bacteria
Description: partial 16S ribosomal RNA
Rfam family: Bacterial small subunit ribosomal RNA
Source: RNAcentral